GGGGUGCUAGCUCAAUGGUGAAGAGUAUCGGUUUUGCACAUCGAAGGUUACAGGUUCAAGUCCUGUGCACUCCA
RNAcentral lists this transfer RNA (74 nucleotides) under Oscarella carmela. RNAcentral describes it as "tRNA-Ala". It matches the Rfam family "tRNA". Rfam says of the family: Transfer RNA (tRNA) molecules are approximately 80 nucleotides in length. The record is from RNAcentral. RNAcentral also lists the same sequence under 2 other names. Lineage: Eukaryota; Metazoa; Porifera; Homoscleromorpha; Homosclerophorida; Oscarellidae.